Molecule: ribosomal RNA, 237 nt
Filed under: uncultured bacterium
Lineage: Bacteria
Description: partial 16S ribosomal RNA
Rfam family: Bacterial small subunit ribosomal RNA
Source: RNAcentral
UACGGAGGGUGCGAGCGUUGUCCGGAAUCAUUGGGCGUAAAGGGCGCGUAGGUGGCCACUUCAAGCGUGCGGUGAAAGUCGGGGGCUCAACCCCUGAUCGGCCGUGCGAACUGGGGGGCUGGAGCACUGUAGAGGCAGGCGGAAGUUCCGGGUGUGAGCGGUGGAAUGCGUAGAGAGUCCGGAAGAACGACCGGUGGCGAAGGCGGCCUGCUGGGCAGUUUUGCUGACACUGAGGCG